AACCAAAAACUUUCAACAACGGAUCUCUUGGUUCUGGCAUCGAUGAAGAACGCAGCGAAAUGCGAUAAGUAAUGUGAAUUGCAGAAUUCAGUGAAUCAUCGAAUCUUUGAA
This 111-nucleotide ribosomal RNA is filed under the name Pseudocyphellaria intricata. Its description in RNAcentral is "5.8S ribosomal RNA". It matches the Rfam family "5.8S ribosomal RNA", at positions 1 to 104 of the family's 154-position model. From Rfam's summary of the family: 5.8S ribosomal RNA (5.8S rRNA) is a component of the large subunit of the eukaryotic ribosome. The record is from RNAcentral. Lineage: Eukaryota; Fungi; Ascomycota; Lecanoromycetes; Peltigerales; Lobariaceae.